CCGGAAGUGUUGAUAUCGCUAUAUUUGUAAUGUUGCUUGUUACAAACUGAAGGUCACAAUUAGAUUUCAUGUAUUAUUGGCUGACAAAUUAAGGAAGAUGUUGUAGUCUGAAAAAAACAAUCCUAGGUCUGGUCUUUUAUGGUGUUCUACAACAGACUACUGGGUGUGUACUUUGCCACAGCUAGCUACAUCCCAGCGCAGUAGCAUAAUGGUUACAUCAUCUUGCUACUUCCGUCUCUGCCACAUUUUGGUUUCUGCUGCUUUUGUCCUGUCAAGAACACAUGUACAGUAGAUGUUCGUUGGGGUUCCAGUAAUACCUUUAAUGCUUUAGCUUCCACUUCAUAUCAAGCUGUGCUUCAUCUGACAUCCCAAGCAGCCGCUUGAUUCUUUCUGUGUUUUUUUGUUAACUGCCUGACACUUAAUCGGCCUGUUGGGGCUUCAAGCGGUCCGGCAGCAGAACCUCAACAGUGAAACUGAUUCUCUUGGCCUGGAAGAUGCUCAGGCUUCCACAAGUGCUUCAAGCCCAGACCCUCAACGUCGUAAAUCAUUGUGAUGGACUCCACGUUCUUCCCCAGCUAGAGGGCACAACAACACAGACCGGUGCACUCCCUCUGCAGCAUCUCACAGUCUCGUAUCUUAGACUUGAUGAAGUCCUGCUUGGAGGCAGAGAGGAAGAGGCCUUUGGGGUCCACGGGUCCGAUGACAUCAUACCAGAUGGGACUGCCCUCGCGGUCGUAGCCACACAUUCCUCCAGAGAGAUACUUCUCGAUGACCUGCAGCCAUCAUGGAGAAGGUCCAACUAAUCACACAUACAAGCGCAGUGAUGGCAAGACUUCCUAGUGAUGACAUCACGUUUGGACAACGUUACCUUUCGCAGCAUGGCCUCGGACUUCUGCACGUUAAAGUUUCUGGCUAGAAGACAGAAAAAAAGAGCAACAAUUUUAAGAUUUAAGGAUUAGAUCUGCUUCCAAAAGGAAAACGUCAAAAGUCAAACACAGCAAAGUUAAGAUUUUAUACUAUUGAAACAGUAUCACUUCUUCUUACACUUGUGUGACACUUACAAUUGGAACACUUACGGAAUACAAACGCAAAAAACAUGGACUAAAUGAAACAACAACAAGUUACACAAGUUCACAGUUAACCAACUUCUCUCUGGAGAGAAUGGAUUUUAUAGUCCCCAAAAAGCCUUUUCUGUUUAUUGGGUAUGGUAUACAACGAAGCGGACAAGCGUUCUUCUGUCUAAGACGCUGCAGAUGCUGCUGCAAACCCAUUAAAUGCUCCUUUCCGUGAGCUUCCAGAGGCCUGGAGGCUGGUAUGGGCUGGAACUGUUUGUUAUUUUGGUCCAGUUCGAGGUGUGCUUACAUGGCAACACAGUUUCACUUCCUCCUGGUGACUAAUCACACCAAACGUGAGCAUUAGGCAUUUGACAGAAUGUUUGUAUUGGAUCUCUUUCGAUGGCGCAUCUAAUGAAGCGACCUCAUCCCCUCAUCAUCAGCCAGUCACGCAUAGGAGUAAAAACAAGCUGAAUCAUUCUGAAUGGACACUUUUUGGAAGCUUCUCGACAGUGUAACCGAACUUCCUGUGAUUUUAACGGCAGGGGGAUCACUGGGGGAGGGCAGGGGCGUGUCUGCCCUGCUGUUGCUGUAGUACACCUUUUAAUGUGAUUAGCUCCGGAUUAGCCUGAUACACAAAGUCCAAGCCCUCUGCUCCAAAACUAAUUUGAGCUCCUUACCCCCCCCCCCCCACACACUAAUACUAAAACACACACAAUAAGACUCUUCUAUGUAUUCAUUGGAGCACAAAUGCGUUGAAGUGCGUUCAGACCAGGCUUGUUGUUAUGAGUUGUACUUCGUAUAUGAAAACCACGCAACCUGUGCAGGUUGACACAUGAGGCGGGAUGAGUUCCAGCUCACCUCUAAGCCAUCGCAGCAGGAAGUGGUCAUGUUGGGCAGGAAGUUGAGAAAGAACAUCUUGAAUCCUCUCCCGGAACUGAUGAGGGAAAGCA
Non-coding RNA from Doryrhamphus excisus (bluestripe pipefish), 2005 nucleotides. The record is from RefSeq and is a predicted model, not a curated record. Lineage: Eukaryota; Metazoa; Chordata; Actinopteri; Syngnathiformes; Syngnathidae.